UGUGCCGUAGCACAGUGGUAGCACGCCCGUUGUGUGUACAGGUGGUAGGGGGUUCGAUCCCCCAGCCCCCGCACGA
This 76-nucleotide transfer RNA is filed under the name Hordeum vulgare. Its description in RNAcentral is "tRNA-OTHER". The record is from RNAcentral. Lineage: Eukaryota; Viridiplantae; Streptophyta; Magnoliopsida; Poales; Poaceae.